This 92-nucleotide microRNA precursor is filed under the name Marmota monax (woodchuck). Lineage: Eukaryota; Metazoa; Chordata; Mammalia; Rodentia; Sciuridae. The record is from RNAcentral.
GGAAAAGAAGAAGAAGAAGAAGAAGAAGAAGAAGAAGAAGAAGAAGAAGAACUUCUUCUUCUUCUUCUUCUUCUUCUUCUUCUUCUUCUUUU